UUUUUUGAGAGUUUGAUCCUGGCUCAGGAUGAACGCUGGCGGCGUGCCUUAGGCAUGCAAGUCGAACGGUUCCGCAUUGCGGGACAGUGGCGGAAGGGUGAGUAACGCGUGGGAACGUACCAUUUGGUUCAGCAUAGCCUUCCGAAAGGAGGGGUAAUACUGCAUAAUCUCGCAAGAGAAAAGGGCUUAACCGCCCGCCGAAUGAGCGGCCCGCGUCCUAUCAGCUUGUUGGUGGGGUAAUGGCCUACCAAGGCAAUGACGGGUAGCUGGGCU
Candidatus Curtissbacteria bacterium is the source of this 273-nucleotide non-coding RNA. NCBI's taxonomy places the organism in Bacteria, Candidatus Curtissiibacteriota. The record is from Rfam.